Molecule: ribosomal RNA, 500 nt
Filed under: uncultured bacterium
Lineage: Bacteria
Description: partial 16S ribosomal RNA
Rfam family: Bacterial small subunit ribosomal RNA
Source: RNAcentral
AUUGCACGCUGGCGGAAUGCUUUACACAUGCAAGUCGAACGGCAGCACGGACUUCGGUCUGGUGGCGAGUGGCGAACGGGUGAGUAAUGUAUCGGAACGUGCCCAGUCGUGGGGGAUAACGUCGUGAAAAUUACGCUAAUACCGCCUACGAUCUAUGGAUGAAAGCGGGGGAUCGCAAGACCACGCGCGAUUGGAGCGGCCGAUAUCAGAUUAGGUAGUUGGGUGGGUAAAGGCCCACCAAGCCAACGAUCUGUAGCUGGUCUGAGAGGACGACCAGCCACACUGGAACUGAGACACGGUCCAGACUCCUACGGGAGGCAGCAGUGGGAAAUUUUGGACAAUGGGCGAAAGCCUGAUCCAGCCAUUCCGCGUGCAGGAUGAAGGCCCUCGGGUUGUAAACUGCUUUUGUACAGAACGAAAAGGUUUCUACUAAUACAAGGAGCACAUGACGUUACUGUAAGAAUAAGCACCGGCUAACUACGUGCCAGCAGCCGCCGUAA